CCAGACUCCUACGGGAGGCAGCAGUAGGGAAUUUUGCGCAAUGGGCGAAAGCCUGACGCAGCAACGCCGCGUGAUCGAGACGCCCUUCGGGGUGUAAAGAUCUGUCAGUGGGGACGAAACUUGACGGUACCCACAGAGGAAGCACCGGCUAACUCCGUGCCAGCAGCCGCGGUAAUACGGGGGGUGCAAGCGUUGUCCGGAAUCAUUGGGCGUAAAGAGUUCGUAGGCGGCACGUAAAGUCUGGUGUUAAAGGCAGAGGCUCAACUUCUGUACGGCACUGGAUACUUGCGAGCUAGAAUGCGGUAGAGGUAAAGGGAAUUCCUGGUGUAGCGGUGAAAUGCUUAGAUAUCAGGAGGAACAUCAGUGGCGAAGGCGACUAUCUGGCACAUAACUGACGCUGAGGAGCGAAAGCGUGGGUAGCAAACAGGAUUAGAUACCCGUGUA
This 444-nucleotide ribosomal RNA is filed under the name uncultured bacterium. RNAcentral describes it as "partial 16S ribosomal RNA". It matches the Rfam family "Bacterial small subunit ribosomal RNA", at positions 331 to 792 of the family's 1533-position model. The record is from RNAcentral.